Molecule: ribosomal RNA, 204 nt
Filed under: uncultured bacterium
Lineage: Bacteria
Description: partial 16S ribosomal RNA
Rfam family: Bacterial small subunit ribosomal RNA
Source: RNAcentral
CAGUUCGGAUCGCAGUCUGCAACUCGACUGCGUGAAGCUGGAAUCGCUAGUAAUCGCGCAUCAGCCAUGGCGCGGUGGAUACGUUCCCGGGCCUUGUACACACCGCCCGUCAAGCCAUGGAAGUCUGGGGGACCUGAAGACGGUAACCGCAAGGAGCCGUUAAGGGUAAAACAGGUAACUAGGGCUAAGUCGUAACAAGGUACC